UACGUAGGGUGCGAGCGUUGUCCGGAAUUAUUGGGCGUAAAGGGCUCGUAGGCGGCCUGUCGCGUCUGCUGUGAAAGCCCAGGGCUUAACCCUGGGUCUGCAGUGGAUACGGGCAGGCUCGAGUCCGGCAGGGGAGACUGGAAUUCCUGGUGUAGCGGUGAAAUGCGCAGAUAUCAGGAGGAACACCGGUGGCGAAGGCGGGUCUCUGGGCCGGUACUGACGCUGAGGAGCGAAAGCCAGGGGACCGAACGGG
Molecule: ribosomal RNA, 253 nt
Filed under: uncultured bacterium
Lineage: Bacteria
Description: partial 16S ribosomal RNA
Rfam family: Bacterial small subunit ribosomal RNA
Source: RNAcentral